CCCGUCCCCAGAGGCACUGCAGGUGUGGCUGCUUUAUCACAUCUGCAUCAGUAGGUUGUAGAGAGGGAGAGGUCAUCUGGGUUCAGUGUUCUGAUCUGAAUGAUCCGUAGCCUAACACU
RNAcentral lists this small nucleolar RNA (119 nucleotides) under Mus pahari (shrew mouse). Its description in RNAcentral is "predicted gene, 23746 (MGP_PahariEiJ_G0034715.1)". It matches the Rfam family "Small nucleolar RNA SNORA17". From Rfam's summary of the family: snoRNA ACA 17 belongs to the H/ACA family of snoRNAs and is predicted to guide pseudouridylation of the 28S rRNA at positions U4659 and U4598. It shares the same host gene together with ACA43. NB This family has a high threshold value to exclude a large number of closely related sequences that do not appear to have conserved H and ACA boxes, and may be pseudogenes. The record is from RNAcentral. Lineage: Eukaryota; Metazoa; Chordata; Mammalia; Rodentia; Muridae.